RNAcentral lists this long non-coding RNA (631 nucleotides) under Parus major (Great Tit). Its description in RNAcentral is "lncRNA (ENSPMJG00000000548.1)". Lineage: Eukaryota; Metazoa; Chordata; Aves; Passeriformes; Paridae. The record is from RNAcentral.
UUUUUUUUAAAUCUAUUUACUAACAUUUACUGUUCUCUGUGUAGAUCAAGCUUUUCAUGUGAAAUAUUUUAUGUUAGUCUUGCUAUACUUUAUGAGGAAGGACUCUGGAUUAUUUUGGUUCUUGUGAUUUUCACAUAUUGGUAGCAGGAAUAAACUGAUGUUUACUAUGUACCUCUUCCUCUUUCAGAAGUUUGUAUUCUGCCUUAGGAAGGAGCCUUUAUAUAAUGAAUUGCAGAAAACUACAUUUCUUCAGCACAGUGUUUUCAGCAGAAUCCUGGAAAACCCAAAACAAAUGAAAUUUGUAAAAGGAAUAUCAGCAAGUAACAAUAGAACAAAGUUAGCAGAACAAAACUCAGGUGCCAUUUUGCUAUUGCAAAUGACUCAUUGUGACACGUUUGUCUGUGGUAUCAGUUUCAGUCUUAUCAGUGACUCAAACCAAAUGUGAUGGGUGCACAUUUCCAUAUUAUGAUUUUGUCAUGCUUCAGGGAGACACCUUAGAAUAAUUAUUGCAAUGAAUGUUUCUGAUAGAACAAAUUUGCAAAGCAGCAAGUAAAGAGCACUUUCCAGUUUAUAAUAUACCUUUUUCUUAAACCAUUCUUUGUAGUGCCUCACUAUAGGCAAGCUAAAAAAU